AUUGAACGCUGGCGGCAGGCCUAACACAUGCAAGUCGAACGAGUGGCGGACGGGUGAGUAAUGUCUGGGAAACUGCCUGCUGGAGGGGGAUAACUACUGUAAACGGUAGCUAAUACCGCAUACCAUCGGAUGUGCCCAGAUGGGAUUAGCUAGGAGGUGGGGUAAAGGCUCACCUAGGCGACGAUCCCUAGCUGGUCUGAGAGGAUGACCAGCCACACUGGAACGGAGAUACGGUCCAGACUCCGACGGGAGGCAGCAGUGGGGAAUAUUGCACAAUGGGCGCAAGCCGGAUGCAGCCAUGACGCGUGUAUGAAGAAGGCCUGCGGGUUGUAAAGUACUUUCAGCGGGGAGGCGUUACCCGCAGAAGAAGCACCGGCUAAAUCCGUGCCAGCAGACGCGGUAAUAC
RNAcentral lists this ribosomal RNA (406 nucleotides) under uncultured bacterium. Its description in RNAcentral is "partial 16S ribosomal RNA". It matches the Rfam family "Bacterial small subunit ribosomal RNA", at positions 29 to 526 of the family's 1533-position model. The record is from RNAcentral.